Molecule: long non-coding RNA, 2984 nt
Organism: Mus musculus (house mouse)
Lineage: Eukaryota; Metazoa; Chordata; Mammalia; Rodentia; Muridae
Product: predicted gene, 35240
Exons: 3
Source: RefSeq, a predicted model, not a curated record
GCAGGCUCAGCAUGGUGAGAUUCUAUUUUCCAUCUUUUAAUUAUAGAGUUAAAUGCCUUGCUUCCCUCUGGAUAGAAUUAAUGUACGCUGGAAGCAGCAGACUGUGGGAUCAGGUUGUCAGGACACAUGACUCUAUCCCUCACUAGCUGUGGAUCUAAGGACAUGUUGCUCUCCUAAGCCCUGGUUUUGUCUUCUAUAAAAUGGGAAUAAUUAGCCUCUACCUCUUAAAUUGUGAGGACUGUGUGGCAGAAUGGAUGGCAAGUGCUUUCUACCCACUAAGCGAGUGCUUCUCAACCUUCCUAAUGCUGUGACCCUUUAAUACAGUUCCUCAUGUUGUGGUGACCAGCCCCCCUCAGUCAUAAAACCCGUAAACCCACAAAACCAUAUUUUCGUUGCUACUUCAUAACUAUAAUUUUGUUACUGCUACGAAUUAUAAUGCAAACAUCUAUAUUUUCUGGUGGUCUUACACUAAAGGGUCAUUUGACUCCAACUGGGUCAUGACUCACAGGUUGAGAACUUGUCGUGCUUUCAAAGCUGAGAGGUCCUCCUAGACCUUGCUUGUCUACCUUUUCCUCCCAGGUUAAGAGGUAGUUUGAGGCAAGUAUGUGUGCUGGCAAGUUUUAACUGUCGACUUGACCCAAUGUAGAGUUCCCUAGGAAGAGGGUCUUAGCCAGGAAAUUUCAAGAUCAGGCUGGUCUGUGGGCAUGUUCAUGUGUGGUUACCUUGUUUGUGAAGUGAGGAGUGAAAUAGGUGGCACCAAUUCAAGGGACAGGUCCCAGACUGCAUACAAUUAGAGAAAGCUAUACACAGCUAAAGGUUCGUAUGAUCUCUCUUUGAUCUAGAAUGAGGAUUUGGCCUUGCCGUGCCUUUCCCAAAAUGAUGCACCAUGGCCUGGAAUUUUAAGGCAAAUAAAUGCUUGUUCUCUUAAGCUACUUGUCAUCUGAAUCUUCAGCAACUGAAAGAAAACGAAAACAGAGUGGUGGCAAGGAAAAAUGAAGUUUUAUGACUUGGUUCUCGGAAAUGAUGACAGCAUUGCCACCAAUAACCAAAAUAAGCAAACAAAAAAGGCACUGUCUACUAGACAAUACUAGUCAAGAGAAGCUGGCUUACAGCACAGAGAAUAGAGAACCAGGUAGACUUGGGUGGGAACCAGAUAGUGAAAUGCCAUACUACAGACACUGGUGGUAGAAGAUUGGGGCUGAGCACAUGAGAAAUUAGAGCUGGAUGUGCUUGUUGGCCAUGACAGACUCAAAAGAGCUAUCUAUGAUUUGGAUCCUUGUGGUGGGACCAGCAGGCAGUGUGAAAGAAUAGACAGUCCCAUAAAAGCAAGAACAGACCAUCUCAGCCUAUCACCAAAAGCAUAGAAACCUACAAAGGAUGUUGAACACACAUACUGCUAAUGCUUCAGGAUGGAUUCAGGCGUGUCCUGUCCCCAGACAGCUACAAAUCUCAGUUUCUACACCUCACCUAUUUGUGAAAAGGAUGUUGUGAGUCCAGUUGCUUACUUCAUGUGCAUUCUUUCAUCAGGUUUCCUUCAAAUCCAGAGUGUUGCCGUUCCCAGUGACACUAUAAUCUCUAGAACACUGGGAGAACUCUUUGUGGUCAAACUCAUGGCUUCCAGUGUUGUUGAGUCCCCCUCAUUUCUCAAAUAGCAAAUGGAGGCUAAGUGAUCUCUUUCAGAGUUGUGCUCGAGAAAUGUCAGUCUCCAGAAGUGCUUCAGCCCUGAGUUCUCUGAGGGUCACUGGCACAGGUGGACAUCAAGAAGAGUUCCUAGAGUCCCAUCCGUGUGGAAUAGGACAUGCAUGAGAGAGAAGGUGGCUAGACAACAAAAGACUUCUGACCCAGGAGAAGGACAUAUAUCUAUUUUCAAGCCCACAAGGAAGGAUUCCCCCAGACUUUCCCCGUUGUGCUCUAUGGAACUGGGAGAUCCAACAUCUCCCUCUAGCCAAGAGCUACUGCGAAGUCUGGGCACUCUGCCAUCUGUAACUCCAUCCUUGAUAUUUGAGAUGACAGAUCUUCAGGGUCACCUUCCUCCCUUUUCAGUGUGGAAACAGAAGUCAAGUGCUCACUCUGGGAGCUCAGCAUGCACUCGCUCAGUGCACAGCAGCUGGCUCCCAUUCCCGGCCUCACCGCUCCUGACGUCUCUACCCUUCUCCAGAUUCCUAACAGUGAAUUUGGACUUAAAGACUUGUGUCUCCAGUGCUCGGAUCUGCAGUAAUGCUCCGUGACCAUAGGAUCAUCCCCUCAGUUGGUCUGCACUGCAUUUUUAAAACCUGUCUACAUACAAAACAGGAAUAAUAAUAGCAUGCUUGAGUCUACUUAAGGGAGCUGUUCAUUCAAUCAGUUAUAGAAGCAAAGGUUCAAAAUGGAAAGAAGAGGUCUUUGCCUACCCAACGAUGUAGUUUCUUCGGCCCUGGGAAAGAAGGUGACAUAGGCUGAGAACUGGACGGUUGGGAUCCCAUAAGGAGUAUAGACAACAGUGACCCUGGGGCAUAGUGGUGAAAGUAGAGGUUGACUUCCAAGUUGACCAUCAGAAUGUUUCUCAUUCUGCUCACUUAACCCAGGACAGUGACCUCAGACUUCCCUAUUGGUCAUGAAGGAGGAAGGACACAUAAGACUUGGUUCCAAUGAUGAUUUUGCAGUCCUAACUCUCAGAGGCCCUAAGCCCAUGGUCCUGAAGAUUCUAUAGAAGGAAUUAAAUGGUUCUGUAAGACGGAAAACCAAACAUCUUAUUUUCGCAAACCUCUCACUGAAAUUAAGUUAUUUUCUUCAAUUAUAACGUGAGCCAAACAACAAUAGUUUUAGCAGAACAGGUCUCUCUCUCAACACCAGAAACAGAAGAUGUUUUCAUGUGGCAUUGUGAUUGUUUCUCAUUCUUUAAAAUCUCAUUCAUUCUGAUUGCUGCUUUGAAAUUGCAAAAGUUAUUAGGCCAGCUGCUGGAGCUGGCUGAGUUAAUAAAGGAGCACAUACAUAACAUUAUAUCA